RNAcentral lists this long non-coding RNA (2779 nucleotides) under Sus scrofa (pig). RNAcentral's name for it is "lncRNA (ENSSSCG00060039546.1)". Lineage: Eukaryota; Metazoa; Chordata; Mammalia; Artiodactyla; Suidae. The record is from RNAcentral.
UUUUUUUUUUUUUUUUUUUUUUUUUGGCUCUUUUAGGGCGUACCUGAAGCAUGUGGAGGCUUCCAGGUGGGGCCCUAGAAAAUAUAAAAAAGACCAAAAAAAAAAAAAAUUCUCCUCUGGGCUAGAGAAGUUUAGUAUUAGUAUCUGAUGACCACCAUGAAGGGCUUAUAUGACCCGGGAUGGGGGUGGGGGUGAGUAGUUCAAUGUUAACCACCAACUAUGUGACAGACACUCUGCUGGACACCGAAUAGAAAAGGGAAGAGUGAGUCAUACUUCAUUCAAAGAGAAAAAUGUCUUGUUUGAAAACACAGGGUUAAGUCUGCAAAGUUACUUAUUAAAAUAUUGACUAAAUUUACUGAGACCCAUUAGUGAGUCUAAUGUUAAAGGCUAGAACAGUCUGUUCACUGUAGACGGCUGGAGUUGGGAAACUGACAUUUGAUUAAAAAAAUCUUUCAUUAAACCACCUGCGCUGUUCAGCUCACAGUUAGCAAUAAAGAAAUCUGGAGUUCCCGUCGUGGCGCAGUGGUUAAUGAAUCUGACUAGGAACCACGAGGUUGUGGGUUCCAUCCCUGGCCUCGAUCAGUGGGUUAAGGAUCUGGCAUUGCCGUGAGCUGUGGUGUGCAUCACAGAUGCGGCUCGGAUCUGGCGUUGCUGUGCCUGUGGUGUAGGCCUGCAGUUGUAUCUCUGAUUCGAUCCCUAGCCUGGGACCCUCCAUAUGGCAUGGGUGUGGCCCUAAAAAAAAAAAAAAAAAAAGAAAAGAAAUCUAAAUCAUUCAGCAUCUUAAGGAUUUUUUUUUUUUUUAAAGGAUACCAUCUGUAUCAUACACCUACAUAAAUAGUUAAUGGAGAUAACAGUCUAGACUCCUUUUCCCUAUCACCCACUUAAAAUACACCCAAGAGGCCUUGGAUAUAUUUAGCUUUGUUCUGUCAAGUCCUAUACCCAUCAUUUCUCCUACAUAGAGAAAAUUCAGCUGACUUCUAGCAAAAUAACACACAGUACUGACACCAAAUGUUUCCGAUACCCUCAGUGAUGAAUUUUAGAAUAUGACUUGAAGUAUUUCUGGGUAUACUACUAUAUAUAUUGGUUGCUCCUGCUCUUCAGAUUGAGAUCACCAUCCCCCCAACCACACACACACACAGACACACCCCUCAUGAUAAAUGCACAAAGUCACAACAAUGAUGAGUAAACCCUCUGCAGCAAUUUAGAGAAAUACACUUUCUGUUCUUAGAAAUUCAGUGGUUGGCAUUAAUCAAGACCACUGCCGGUCUAUUUGGAUCCUAUCUGAAAUGGAGAGUGAGCAUCACUUGGUUCUGCACCUUCCCCAUUCAAAAUGUUGGAAAGCUAAGAUGCCAAGUAAGAGAGAUGGGUGUGCUUCUGAGCAUCACGUUACUUACAUUUUCCUCUGAAUUCAGGCUCUGGCAAACAUUGGCAGAAAAGCUGAAGACACAAGUGCCUUGUGGGGUAGACGGCACAGAUUUAGAGUGCUUUGUUUAUCAGAACGUGGGUUUUUAUCCUGAUGGAACCUGUAAACAGGGCAUGGGGGGCACUCAAUUACAGCUUGGGGAACAGCCAGCACCAUUGAGGAUAUCCCAUCUGUGCUACAAGAGACAUUCUAAGUAGAAAAUCACAACAGAAAGUAUGAAAUUCACGCAUCCAAUGCAACAUGAGUAGUUACUAUGGGUCAACACUGUUCUAGACAUUAGGGAUCCAACAGUAAACAAGAGACAAAACCCCCGUCUUCGAUGGUGCAUAUAUUCUAGUAGGAACAGACUACUGAUAUAAAUGAAGCUAUAAAUGUCUAUCGAGUUAGAAGGUGAUAGACAAGUGCCAUGGAGGAAAAUAAAGGAGAAAAGAGGAGCAGGCCACACCGGCAGAGGGUGGCUGGGGAUGGUGGGCAGAGAAGGUGAUGUCUGAUUAAGGAGCUGAAGGGUUAAGGGGCACAGCCCUGGAGACAUCUCGGGGGAAGAGCCGUCCAAACAGCGGAAACAGUAAAUGCACAACGGCUCUGAGGCAGGAGUAUGCCUGGCAAGUUGAAUGAAUAACGAGGAAGCCAAUGUGUUUAAACGCCUUCAACUGCUUCCAGAUUAAGGGGUUACAAUUGGGGGCAAAAUGUCAUGAACACAGCCAUGUUUUCUCACACACUUAGAGCGGGAACAUGCCUUUGAAAAUGCUUACUCAAGCCCCUUAUUCUUUCCAAGCUGGAAGAAAUAAAGAAGAGAAGGCUGAGUGAGUAAUCCAAGGCAGUUAUGCUGCCAGCUAACCGGCCAAGAGAAAGCUUCAGCGCCAGUUAUCUCAAACUCAUCACCACACUUUUAUCUCAUGCUCCAACUUUACAAGAGAUACUCUUAUUUUUUUAAUUGGGAAAAAAAUGAAAGAAUCCAUCUAAUAUAAUCUUAGAGCUAAAAAUUGAUCAAUUUCACUUUUCAUUCAACAAAUAACCGAGAGAGACCCUACGCACACCCUUUUUGGUGAGGAAUGAAAGAAUAAAUGCAUCAUUACUUAAGAGUGCCACUGCUCAGCAAUCAAUUGCACAACUGUGGAACAGAGAAACGACUGCAGGAGACACAUCUCAGAUGUUGACUGCAGCACUGUUACAGUUUUUUUUUGUUUUUUGUUUUUUGUUUUUUUUUAAGUGUAAAAAGAUCAACUAUCCUCAGCAGAAAAGGUAUGAACCGUGAAAACCUGGAAAUACUCUAAUUUUCUCUUGGAAGGAAUGAGUAUGCUAUAGUUUACUCAUACAUAGAAUUCUCACUAGCAGCUAAAGAAGAUCUACAUGUAC